UCAGAUACAAGAUCUCUCAGU
RNAcentral lists this unclassified non-coding RNA (21 nucleotides) under Dictyostelium discoideum. The record is from RNAcentral. Lineage: Eukaryota; Evosea; Eumycetozoa; Dictyosteliales; Dictyosteliaceae.